CGGAUUGCAUUUGGAACUGGCGAGCUAGAGUACAGGAGAGGAAAGCGGAAUUCCCUAGUGUAGCGGUGAAAUGCGUAGAUAUUAGGAAGAACACCAGUGGCGAAGGCGGCUUUCUGGACUGAAACUGACGCUGAGGCUCGAAAGCGUGGGGAGCAAACAGGAUUAGAUACCCUGGUAGUCCACGCCGUAAACGAUGAGUGCUAGGUGUCGGGGAGGAAUCCUCGGUGCCGCAGCUAACGCAAUAAGCACUCCACCUGGGGAGUACGACCGCAAGGUUGAAACUCAAAGGAAUUGACGGGGGCCCGCACAAGCGGUGAAGCAUGUGGUUUAAUUCGAAGCAACGCGAAGAACCUUACCAAGGCUUGACAUCCCGAUGACCGCUCUAGAGAUAGGGUUUCUCUUCGGAGCAUCGGUGACAGGUGGUGCAUGGUUGUCGUCAGCUCGUGUCGUGAGAUGUUGGGUUAAGUCCCGCAACGAGCGCAACCCUUAUCCUUAGUAGCCAUCAUUGAGUUGGGCACUCUAGGGAGACUGCCGUGGAUAACACGGAGGAAGGUGGGGAUGACGUCAAAUCAUCAUGCCCCUUAUGUCUUGGGCUACACACGUGCUACAAUGGCUGGUAACAGAGUGAAGCGAGACGGCGACGUUAAGCAAAUCACAAAAACCCAGUCCCAGUUCGGAUUGUAGUCUGCAACUCGACUACAUGAGGCUGGAAUCGCUAGUAAUCGCGAAUCAGAAUGUCGCGGUGAAUACGUUCCCGGGCCUUGUACACACCGCCCGUCACACCAUGGGAGUUGGAAGCACCCGAAGUCGGUGAC
This 815-nucleotide ribosomal RNA is filed under the name uncultured Clostridium sp. RNAcentral describes it as "bacterial SSU rRNA". It matches the Rfam family "Bacterial small subunit ribosomal RNA", at positions 617 to 1434 of the family's 1533-position model. The record is from RNAcentral. Lineage: Bacteria; Bacillati; Bacillota; Clostridia; Eubacteriales; Clostridiaceae.